CCGUUUAAUAAGUCAGAUAACAUGACAUCAGCUGACAUAUCGUGGCAUUAAAUUCCAAACCAUUGCACAUAAAUCCAAAGUAUAUGAGAUUCAGAGGAUUGUAGAGAUGGCGAGCAUUCGAUUUAUUACCAUGCGGCGAGAUAAAGUUCCAAGCUUUUUCUCUUUAAAAAAAAAUAAAUGACAGGAAAUACCUUGCAUUGGCUGACUGCUUGAAUUCUUGCAAUUAGCCAUGUGUGACCGAGAAAGGUCGAAACUAACAAUUAACAUUCGUGAGAUGGAGGAACAUUUGGGCAAAUGAGAAAUAUGUAGUUCUUCUAAAAGUCCUUAAAUUGCUGAAGUAUAUAAUUGAAAGUUUAUACUUCCUAGCGAGAAAGAAAAAAGAGCUUAACUUUUGAAACGUUGCAGUUCAUUAUGUUAGAAUAUAAUUACACUUGUCUUUUGAUUCUGGGGGUGAAAAAUGUCUAGACCCAUCAUUGUAUGACUGGGCUGCACAGCUUAAGUCUAUUAUACCUUUUUUUUUUAUAUUUCAUGUGCAAUCUUAAGGUCAAAAACUACCUCUCCCCACAUAUUUAGACACAGUGAAAAGGCCGCAAAUGCAGUGAAGGCAGAAAAUAUUUUAAAAAGCAGGACUCUUUGUCUCAAAGUGGGUAAACAAUUUUCUUACCACAGGAAAAACCGCUGCUAAAUUUAAACUUUAGUAUUUCUAAAGUACUUAAAAUGAGUCAAGAUGUUAUGAUGUCCUUCAAAGAACUGAAUCGAAAGCAUUUUUUUAAAUAUCCAAGUCAGAAGAUCUUAAAGCAGUUUUUCAAACAGUCAACAUAAAGUUUUAUACGUCUGGACGUAAUAAAACAAAUGGUGUGGUCUUUAGCAGAUCUGAAAAUGAUUCAGAUUCAACCUCGGCUUGAUUACAAAACACAACAGAAGCAAUUGUUGCUGCUCAUCAAUCUGUUUUUAACCUUUCCAAAGAAUUUGAAGUCUAUCAUUCUACAGUGAGAAAGAUUAUUCAUAAGUGGAAAAAAUUCAAGGCAGUUUUCACAGAAGUGGAUGUCCCAGCAGGGUCACCACAAGGUCAGACCAUGUAAUGUACCAUGUACCAACUCUGUUUGCAGGGCUUGCCAGGAGAAAGCCUCUUCUCUCUAAAAAGAACAUGGCAGCACAGCUUGGCUUUGCUAAGUUGCACCUGAACAAAGUCCUUUGGACAGAUGAGACCAAAGUACAGAUGUUUAACCAUAAUGCACAGCACAAGAAAAACCAAGCAUAGCAAGCAUAUCAGCACAAACACUUCAUACCAACUGUCAAGCACAGUGGUGGAGGGGUGAUGAUUUGGGCUUGUUUUGCACCUGGGCACCAUGCAGUCACUGAACCAUUAAAACACCACAAACUCCUCUGUAUACCAAAGUAUUCUAGAGGCAAAUGUGGGGCCAUCUAUCUGAUUGCUUAGGCAGGUGGCACAGCAGCAAAUUUACAACAGAAAGGCUGAAAAAUAACAGAAUCAAAGUGCUGCAAAGUCCAGACUUCAGCCUGACUGAAUGGUGGUGUGGGACCUAGACAGAGCUGUACAUAAACAAAUCUCCACAAACAUCAAUGAAGAAAGCAACACUGUAUAGAAGAGAAAUGAAAAAAUGACAAGAGACUCAUAAUUUUAAGUUAUUUCACUGCUUCUAUAUUUUGGAUUAGUUUUUAAUAAAUAAAUAAUGCCAUGGUGUAAUGCCAUGAAUUGCUGUUCAACUGAGGUUGUAUUUACCAAAUUUUCAGACCUGAUAAGGACCAGAUGUAAAAUCCUAGAACUGAAAGAGGGUGCACUUUUUUGUCAUUUGACUGUUAAUGAUAUUCAUCUUUUUAGCCGACCAUAAUCACCCGGUGAAAUAAAGAUGAAAAAAGACUGCUUAAGAAUUGCAGGCGUCGUGUUUUAGAAUCUGCUCACUAGAACAUUUUAAAACUGAAAUGUCAGCAGAGGAUUGGACGUCUACUUGUGCCAGAGUUCAUACCGCAGACUGACACACUAUACCUGGGUAAAGUGAACAUAUGCUCCUGCCAAAUGAUAUGUGCACUAAAUGAGACUACUGCUUUUGCAGUGCAGGACAUUUUGGCAAGAGGUCAGAGCAACAUGUGAAAAUGUGAAAAUUAUUUUAAAUUCCCCUGGACCCAAACCCUUGUGCUUGGCUUAUAUCCAGCCCUUUGUAUGUGUAACUGUGAAGAAAAAUGAACCCACUGCUUUAAACGCCAAAAACCUAAAUGCAUUAUUUUGGGACAUUAAAAUCCCUAAUCCCACUGGACAAGACAAUGAAUGGCAAAUGAAAGAAUAACAUAUAUUCUGAAUAACAAAUCAAAAAUAUUCAAGGAAUAUUUUUUGAAAUAUGUGGAAGAUCUGGCAGAAAAUUAGCCAUAAAAGCUGUUGUAGACCAUAAUCUGUUUUUUUCCUUCAACAAACACUUGAAUAUAUGUCACGUGCAUUCUUCCCCUACUGUAUGUUUUUAAAAGAAAAAUAGUAUUCGUGUGUGUUUUGAGUCCAGCUGGGUGUAGAAAGGGUGUGGGCCAUCACUUGACAGAGGCAAUCGGGUUGGAAAGAGAUAAGAAAAAAAAAAGUACAGUCUGGUCCACCCCAGAUGUCAUCACAGUAUGCUAAUGAGGCAGAGUGGGGUCUUUAAGUGCUGGAACCCAACAGAGGGACAAGUAAGGAGACCAGACGAUGACACACACUGAAGGCAAAGAAGUUACAAACUACGGGGACUCCCUGCUCACGGUUCUGUCUUGUGCCCUGGACAGGAUAUCAUCUUAUACUGUAAGUUUAUUAAAGAGACACUACAGUAUAGAUGAUGUACUAUCCAGGGUUUCAUUCCCCCUCCGCUGCUAUCAGCACACCAACACUUUAACUGACCGAAGCCUGAACACUCUGAGGGAGGCUGUCAAACCGUUACCAUUACUGAGUUUUAGUAAUGGUAAGGGUUCUACGGCCUUCUCUCGAUGUCAUCUAGACCGGAAGGACCAACGGGAGGAAUCGCUGGAGACUGAUGUGUCAUUCACGAGCUCCUGGCGGAUAUUUCCUUUUUUUUUAAUAAUAGGUGCAUAUGAAAUAAAGCAGAUGGUUCUUAAA
Oreochromis niloticus (Nile tilapia) is the source of this 3094-nucleotide long non-coding RNA. RefSeq lists it as uncharacterized. Lineage: Eukaryota; Metazoa; Chordata; Actinopteri; Cichliformes; Cichlidae. The transcript is spliced from 2 exons. The record is from RefSeq and is a predicted model, not a curated record.